GUUAUGAGAGGAAUUUUAGACAAUAUCACUAAAAUUUACAUCAAAUCAAAACCACCAGCUACUCUUGGAAGAUGUACUCAAAUCGACUCAUCAAAUAUUGUUUUUGCAAUCACUGGUCAUUCAAACAGUGCCGGUUCCUGUGUAAAGUAUAUGGAUAUUAGAAACGUUAAUGACUUAAAAUGAAAACUGAGCGAUCCUAACCGUGAAGACUCAAAUAUGGUAGUAUCUGAAAAUGGGAUAAUACUUGCCAUCGGUGGUGCAGAUGAGUCUGGUCGAUGGGUCCAUCAUGUAGACGAGCUUGAUCUAAAGUCAGAAUCAAAACUAUGGGUUUCUACAGAGCCAUUGAAUAAACCACGAACAAAUUUUGCUGUUUGUACAUAAAAGCAGUACAUAUAUGUCGUCGGUGGCUAUGAUUUCUCAAAUAAGAAUUAUUUGAAUUCUGUAGAAUACUAUGAUACAAAGUCAAAAGUAUGGACGGAGAUUAUUAUACCAAUGCCCACUGCUCGAUACAGAGAUAACAAGACUUAUAGUCAUAUUACAAUUAAACAUGAAAUUUACCAAAUUGAUGAUCAUGUGUUUGAAACUGUGAUUCAAGUGGAAGAACCUUUGAUUCUGCAGUCAAAUGACAAAUUGAUGGACGAAAGAGAGUCGGUCAGAUGCAGUGUGUGUUCAAAACAAUUUUCAUCUAAACGAAAACUGAACCACCAUAUUACACAAUCACACAAUGGUCGUUCUAAAACCGAGGAAUGUUUAAUUUUAAAAGAAAUUGAUGAAAAUACUUCAGCUAUUAGCUGCAAUAACGACGAUUUGAAUGUCAAAAUUGAAAAAGAAUGGGCAAUUUACCUCCAUGCUGCGGUGUACCUCCACCUGUGACAAUUACUUGUUAUCACACAAACACACUAUCACAAAUCUGUCUAGAAAAUGUUUGCAUUGUCCUGCAGUUUGCGUUA
Adelges cooleyi (spruce gall adelgid) is the source of this 950-nucleotide long non-coding RNA. RefSeq lists it as uncharacterized. Lineage: Eukaryota; Metazoa; Arthropoda; Insecta; Hemiptera; Adelgidae. The transcript is spliced from 5 exons. The record is from RefSeq and is a predicted model, not a curated record.